Molecule: non-coding RNA, 31 nt
Filed under: Rattus norvegicus (Norway rat)
Lineage: Eukaryota; Metazoa; Chordata; Mammalia; Rodentia; Muridae
Source: RNAcentral
AAGAGCCGCGUAAGAGACCUCUGGCGUCUUC